Molecule: long non-coding RNA, 721 nt
Organism: Xenopus laevis (African clawed frog)
Lineage: Eukaryota; Metazoa; Chordata; Amphibia; Anura; Pipidae
Exons: 4
Source: RefSeq, a predicted model, not a curated record
UACUAGCAUCAGCUUUUUUUGCCAGAUUAAAGCAGGUCCUUUAGCAAUAUUUUUCCUGUAUUUCGCCCCAGUUCUUCCUUUUAACAAUAUGGCUCUUCUAACAUCAUACUUUACUGUAGGUUCAAUAAAGCAUUGAAUACAUUGGAUUGCAGCUCUGAGUAUACACAUUUAUAUAAUGAUGAGCUUGGGAAUUGCAAAACCGGUAAUAUUAAAUUGAUCAUUCAUGUCCUGACAUGUCCUAAUGUCCUCAAUAUAUUGAUAAUGGAUUUCAGUAAUGAUGGACCUCAGAGAAUUGAGAGACCCUUCUUUUAAUCUGCUGACAGAGCAUCAAAAUAUAUUACUUUUCAAGAAAUUAAAAACAAGAUAAUUAAAUGGGGAAAUAUACAAUCUUUCAUAAAAUGUUUUCUAUUCUUACCCAUAUCAUAGUGGAUGGAUCCUGAGUUUGCCACAUGUAAGACAGCCAACAGGCUGUACCUGGAAGUGAAAAUCACCUGACGCAUUUUGCGACCAAUCAGCUUCUUCAGAAUUCGAAUCUGGCCAUUUGUAUGAAGAAGAAAAAAUAAUAAAAUUAAAGUAACCUAUACGAAAUGUUUUAUGGUAUAAUUAGAGGCCAUCAGGAUACGUUACUCUCCAUAUAACUUUUAUAUUUUCAUGAUGUAUCAAAUGAAAUAAAUGUGAAACAUUAAAACAUCUUUUACACCUAAAACCUGUUGACAUUAUA